RNAcentral lists this ribosomal RNA (658 nucleotides) under fungal endophyte. RNAcentral describes it as "eukaryotic LSU rRNA". The stretch from base 179 to 332 matches the Rfam family "5.8S ribosomal RNA". The record is from RNAcentral. Lineage: Eukaryota; Fungi.
UAAAGAGUUCUAUAACUCCCAAACCCAUGUGAACAUACCUAACGUUGCCUCGGCAGGUCGCACCUACCUUGUAGCACCCUACCCUGUAGGGCCUACCCGGGAGGUGCGGGUAAGCCUGCCGGCGGCCCACCAAACUCUGUUUGAUAUUGAAUUCUGAACCUAUAACUAAAUAAGUUAAAACUUUCAACAACGGAUCUCUUGGUUCUGGCAUCGAUGAAGAACGCAGCGAAAUGCGAUAAGUAAUGUGAAUUGCAGAAUUCAGUGAAUCAUCGAAUCUUUGAACGCAUAUUGCGCCCAUUAGUAUUCUAGUGGGCAGGACCGUUCGAGCGUCAUUUCAACCCUUAAGCCUUCGUUGCUUAGUGUUGGGAGCCUACGGCAACGUAGCUCCUCAAAGUUAGUGGCGGAGUUGGUUCACACUCUAGACGUAGUAAUUUUUUAUCUCGCCUAUUAGUUGGACUAAUCCCCUGCCGUAAAACCCCUAAUUUAUCAAGGUUGACCUCGAAUCGGUUCAGACAAACUCGCUAAAUUGAAGCAUCUUAGUCAGCGAAGGAAAAGAAACCAACAGGGAUUGCCCUAGUAACGGCGAGUGAAGCGGCAACAGCUCAAAUUUGAAAUCUGGCCCUCGGGUCCGAGUUGUAAUUUGUAGAGGAUGCUUUUG